Molecule: ribosomal RNA, 424 nt
Filed under: Verrucomicrobiota bacterium
Lineage: Bacteria; Pseudomonadati; Verrucomicrobiota
Description: Verrucomicrobia bacterium partial 16S ribosomal RNA
Rfam family: Bacterial small subunit ribosomal RNA
Source: RNAcentral
UGAGGAAUAUUGGUCAAUGGACGAGAGUCUGAACCAGCCAAGCAGCGUGCAGGAUGACGGCCCUAUGGGUUGUAAACUGCUUUUGUUUGGGAAUAAUCGACAUUACGUGUAAUGUUUUGCAUGUACCAUUCGAAUAAGGACCGGCUAAUUCCGUGCCAGCAGCCGCGGUAAUACGGAAGGUCCAGGCGUUAUCCGGAUUUAUUGGGUUUAAAGGGAGUGUAGGCGGUUGGUUAAGCGUGUUGUGAAAUGUAGAUGCUCAACAUCUGACUUGCAGCGCGAACUGGCUGACUUGAGUACACACAACGUAGGCGGAAUUCAUGGUGUAGCGGUGAAAUGCUUAGAUAUCAUGAAGAACUCCGAUUGCGAAGGCAGCUUACGGGAGUGUUACUGACGCUUAAGCUCGAAGGUGCGGGUAUCGAACAGG